GUGGGGAAUCUUCCGCAAUGGACGAAAGUCUGACGGAGCAACGCCGCGUGAGUGAAGAAGGUUUUCGGAUCGUAAAGCUCUUUCGUUAGGGACGAACGUGCUCUUUGUGAAUAAUGAGGAGUAAUGACGGUACCUAAAUAAGAAGCCACGGCUAACUACGUGCCAGCAGCCGCGGUAAUACGUAGGUGGCAAGCGUUGUCCGGAAUUAUUGGGCGUAAAGCGCGCGCAGGCGGGAUAUCAAGUCUGGCUUAAAAGUGCGAGGCUCAACCUCGUGAGGGGACAGAAACUGGUAUUCUUGAGUGUCGGAGAGGAAAGUGAAAUUCCAAGUGUAGCGGUGAAAUGCGUAGAGAUUUGGAAGAACACCAGUGGCGAAGGCGACUUUCUGGACGAUGUCUGACGCUGAGGCGCGAAAGCUAGGGGAGCGAACGGGAUUAGAAACCCGGGUAGUCC
Molecule: ribosomal RNA, 450 nt
Filed under: uncultured bacterium
Lineage: Bacteria
Description: partial 16S ribosomal RNA
Rfam family: Bacterial small subunit ribosomal RNA
Source: RNAcentral